Molecule: long non-coding RNA, 219 nt
Filed under: Panax ginseng (ginseng)
Lineage: Eukaryota; Viridiplantae; Streptophyta; Magnoliopsida; Apiales; Araliaceae
Description: long non-coding RNA (PGIN_LNC004804)
Source: RNAcentral
UUUCCCACCAAUACCAUUGUUGACUUCACUGCUCCUAUUCCUCACCAAGAAGAUCCUAAUGGCACCAUUCCUGACAUUUCUCACUUAUCUCCUCUAAAUCUAGAGGACAUCUAACUGUUUGACCAAUUUUUCUAACUAUUCGGAUGAUUGUAAACUUAACUCCCUCAAACCCCUCUCCCCUACUACUACUACUACUGAUUUCAUAUCUUUACUAUUUUU